RNAcentral lists this ribosomal RNA (313 nucleotides) under uncultured delta proteobacterium. RNAcentral's name for it is "bacterial SSU rRNA". It matches the Rfam family "Bacterial small subunit ribosomal RNA", at positions 536 to 847 of the family's 1533-position model. Lineage: Bacteria; Deltaproteobacteria. The record is from RNAcentral.
AAGCGUUGUUCGGAUUUAUUGGGCGUAAAGAGCGUGUAGGCGGUUUGUUAAGUCUGAUGUGAAAGCCCUGGGCUCAACCCRGGAAGUGCAUUGGAAACUGGCAGACUUGAAUACGGGAGAGGGCAGUGGAAUUCCURGUGUAGGAGUGAAAUCCGUAGAUAUUAGGAGGAACACCGGUGGCGAAGGCGGCUGCCUGGACCGAUAUUGACGCUGAGACGCGAAAGCGUGGGUAGCAAACAGGAUUAGAUACCCUGGUAGUCCACGCUGUAAACGAUGAGAACUAGGUGUUGCGGGUAUUGACCCCUGCAGUGCC